CAGACUGUUGUCUGUGAAGCCUAGUAACCUCACAGCACCAGACUGUUGUCUGUGAAGCCUAGUAACCUCCCAGCACCAGACUGUUGUCUGUGAAGCCUAGUAACCUCACAGCACCAGACUGUUGUCUGUGAAGCCUAGUAACCUCCCAGCACCAGACUACCCACAGACAGAACUGGGCAUCAUAGCAUCAGAAGAGGAAGACCUGACAUUUUCAGCCACUAACACAGAAGGACCAUUGUUACACUUUCCUUUUUUUAAUCCAUGUUAGUUGUUGUGGCAGAGAAUCACUCAGGACCACAAAGGUUCUGAGCUGCCCCUCCCUGUGCCUGAGUAGAAAGGGCCCCCUGUCUGUCUCGGCUGUAAUACCAGUCCAGGGGAGGGUACUAGGUAGAAAGGGCCCCCUGUCUGUCUCAGCUGUAAUACCAGUCCAGGGGAGGGUACUAGGUAGAAAGGGCCCCCUGUCUGUCUCGGCUGUAAUACCAGUCCAGGGGAGGGCACUAGGUAGAAAGGGCCCCCUGUCUGUCUCGGCUGUAAUACCAGUCCAGGGGAGGGUACUAGGUAGAAAGGGUCCCCUGUCUGUCUCAGCUGUAAUGCCAGUCCAGGGGAGGGUACUAGGUAGAAAGGGCCCCCUGUCUGUCUCAGCUGUAAUACCAGUCCAGGGGAGGGUACUAGGUAGAAAGGGCCCCCUGUCUGUCUCGGCUGUAAUACCAGUCCAGGGGAGGGCACUAGGUAGAAAGGGCCCCCUGUCUGUCUCAGCUGUAAUGCCAGUCCAGGGGAGGGUACUAGGUAGAAAGGGCCCCCUGUCUGUCUCAGCUGUAAUACCAGUCCAGGGGAGGGUACUAGGUAGAAAGGGUCCCCUGUCUGUCUCGGCUGUAAUACCAGUCCAGGGGAGGGUACUAGGUAGAAAGGGCCCCUGUCUGUCCCAGCUGUAACACCAGUCCAGGGGAGGGUACUAGGUAGAAAGGGCCCCCUGUCUGUCUCAGCUGUAAUACCAGUCCAGGGGAGGGCACUAGGUAGAAAGGGCCCCCUGUCUGUCUCAGUUAUAAUACCAGUCCAGGGGAGGGUACUAGGUAGAAAGGGCCCCCUGUCUGUCUCAGUUAUAAUACCAGUCCAGGGGAGGGUACUAGGUAGUUACAGACAGACAAGUUGUAAGUUGUGUAGUCCAGGACAGGUCAGUUACAGACAGACAGGUUGUGUAGUCUAGGACAGGUCAGUUCCACUAGGAGAUAGAUGGUUAUAGACAGACAGGUUGUGUAGUCUAGGACAGGUCAGUUCCACUAGGAGAUAGAUGGUUACAGACAGACAGACAGGUUGUGUAGUCUAGGACAGGUCAGUUACACUAGGAGAUAGAUGGUUACAGACAGACAGGCUGUGUAGUCUAGGACAGGUCAGUUCCACUAGGAGAUAGGUGGUUACAGACAGACAGGUUGUGUAGUCUAGGACAGGUCAGUUACAGACAGACAUGUUGUGUAGUCUAGGACAGGUCAGUUCCACUAGGAGAUAGAUGGUUACAGACAGACAGGUUGUGUAGUCUAGGACAGGUCAGUUACAGACAGACAGGUUGUGUAGUCUAGGACAGGUCAGUUCCACUAGGAGAUAGAUGGUUACAGACAGACAGGUCAGUUCCACUAGGAGAUAGAUGGUUACAGACAGACAGUGUAGUAGCAAUAUAAAGAUGAUUAUAAAAUGUGAGAUUAAAGACCUGACGUUCAUACUAAUAUUCAGCCAGUUAACCACAGUCCUGGAGUCAGAUGUUAACUCCUGUCUCUAAAUAGUGGAGGUUAGGGCCCCGUUAACCACAGUCCUGGAGUCAGAUGUUAACUCCUGUCUCUAAAUAGUGGAGGUUAGGGCCCCGUUAACCACAGUCCUGGAGUCAGAGGUUAAC
Long non-coding RNA from Oncorhynchus tshawytscha (Chinook salmon), 1885 nucleotides. The record is from Ensembl. Lineage: Eukaryota; Metazoa; Chordata; Actinopteri; Salmoniformes; Salmonidae.